UACGUAGGGUGCGAGCGUUAAUCGGAAUUACUGGGCGUAAAGCGUGCGCAGGUGGCUGAGUCAGUCGAUUGUGAAAGCCCCGGGCUCAACCUGGGAAGUGCAUUGGAUACUGUAAGACUUGAAUACGGGAGAGGGCAGUGGAAUUCCUGGUGUAGGAGUGAAAUCCGUAGAUAUCAGGAGGAACACCGGUGGCGAAGGCGGCUGCCUGGACCGAUAUUGACGCUGAGACGCGAAAGCGUGGGUAGCAAACAGG
RNAcentral lists this ribosomal RNA (253 nucleotides) under uncultured bacterium. RNAcentral's name for it is "partial 16S ribosomal RNA". It matches the Rfam family "Bacterial small subunit ribosomal RNA", at positions 524 to 776 of the family's 1533-position model. The record is from RNAcentral.